AAGUCGUAACAAGGUUUCCGUAGGUGAACCUGCGGAAGGAUCAUUAACAAAUUUUAUUUAAAAAGAAAAACAACCGUGCAAAGAGAUUGAGGAUGGGGGGGGUAUUACACCUAUUCAUUCUUUUAUUCUAUAAAAAAGCCUUUAAAAAUGUAGUCAAUUUUAUACAUAAUAAUAUAUAUAUAACUUUUAACAAUGGAUCUCUAGGCUCUC
RNAcentral lists this unclassified non-coding RNA (210 nucleotides) under fungal sp. RNAcentral describes it as "partial internal transcribed spacer region". The stretch from base 1 to 46 matches the Rfam family "Eukaryotic small subunit ribosomal RNA", at positions 1786 to 1831 of the family's 1831-position model. Lineage: Eukaryota; Fungi. The record is from RNAcentral.